AGGGCAAGUCUGGUGCCAGCAGCCGCGGUAAUUCCAGCUCCAAUAGCGUAUAUUAAAGUUGUUGCAGUUAAAAAGCUCGUAGUUGAAUUUCGGGGUUCUACCGUUGGUCGGGCUAUUGUCUGUACUGGUGUGUAGAAUUUCUACCUUCUGGGGAACUAUCAUGUUAUUAAUUUAGCGUGGUAGGAAACCAGGACCUUUACCUUGAAAAAAUUAGAGUGUUCAAAGCAGGCUUAUGUCUGAAUACAUUAGCAUGGAAUAAUAAAAUAGGACGGUGGUCCUGUUUUGUUGGUUUCUGAAUCACCGUAAUGAUUAAUAGGGAUAGUUGGGGGCAUUAGUAUUCAAUUGUCAGAGGUGAAAUUCUUGGAUUUAUUGAAGACUAACUACUGCGAAAGCAUUUGCCAAGGAUGUUUUCAUUAAUCAAGAACGAAAGUUAGGGGAUCGAAGACGAUCAGAUACCGUCGUAGUCUUAACCAUAAACUAUGCCGACUAGGGAUCGGACGAUGUUAACUUUUCUUGACUCGUUCGGCGCCUUACGGGAA
Molecule: ribosomal RNA, 539 nt
Filed under: uncultured Glomeromycotina
Lineage: Eukaryota; Fungi; Glomeromycota
Description: SSU rRNA
Rfam family: Eukaryotic small subunit ribosomal RNA
Source: RNAcentral